This 215-nucleotide long non-coding RNA is filed under the name Nicotiana benthamiana. Its description in RNAcentral is "long non-coding RNA (NBEN_LNC000475)". Lineage: Eukaryota; Viridiplantae; Streptophyta; Magnoliopsida; Solanales; Solanaceae. The record is from RNAcentral.
UGUUGUGAUAUCAAAUAUACCUCUUGAGUUUCCAUCCCGUUGCAUUACUUUAUGAUGAUACUCCAUCUCUUCUAUUUUUCCGUAUAGAAAUUCUUUUUAGAACCACGAAUACGGAACCGCGAACAAAAUCCCGAACUCCUGCUUUCUUUCUUUCUUUCACGUUUUUUUUUCUCUUUCUGUUGGCUUUCUUUGCUUCUUCUUUUGUUUUUACGUUU